UACGUAGGGGGCAAGCGUUGUCCGGAUUUAUUGAGCGUAAAGAGCGUGUAGGCGGCUUGGUAGGUCCGCUGUGAAAACUCGAGGCUCAACCUCGAGAUGUCGGCGGAAACCACUUGGCUAGAGUCCGGAAGAGGAGAGUGGAAUUCCUGGUGUAGCGGUGAAAUGCGCAGAUAUCAGGAAGAACACCUAUGGCGAAGGCAGCUCUCUGGGACGGUACUGACGCUGAGACGCGAAAGCGUGGGGAGCGAACAGG
Molecule: ribosomal RNA, 253 nt
Filed under: uncultured bacterium
Lineage: Bacteria
Description: partial 16S ribosomal RNA
Rfam family: Bacterial small subunit ribosomal RNA
Source: RNAcentral